UCGCCUGUUUUAUCAAAAACAUAGCCUUAUGGAAUUUAUAUUAGGUUUUACCUGCCCAGUGAUUUCUUUUUAACGGCCGCAGUACUUUGACUGUGCUAAGGUAGCAUAAUAAAUUGACUUUUAAUUGAAGUCUAGAAUGAAAGGAUAUAUGAAUAUAUUCUGUCUUAAUUGAAAUAUUUUUAAAUUACUUAAAAAGUGAAAAUUCUUUUAUUCUAAUUUAAAAGACGAGAAGACCCUAGGAGUUUAUAUGAUUUUGUUGGGGUAACAUUAUAGUAUAUUUUAAACCUAUAAUAAUAAAUUAUUAUAUAACGAUAAUUAUAAUUUUAAUUUUAACUACCCUAGGGAUAACAGCAUAAUUACUUUGUAGUUUGUGACCUCGAUGUUGGACUAGGGACUUUUAAUAUUAGCUAUAUUAAUCGAUUGUUUUGUUCAAACAAUUUUACCUACGUGAUCUGAGUUCAGA
This 463-nucleotide ribosomal RNA is filed under the name Rhinocochlis nasuta. RNAcentral describes it as "partial large subunit ribosomal RNA". It matches the Rfam family "Bacterial large subunit ribosomal RNA", at positions 1796 to 2615 of the family's 2925-position model. The record is from RNAcentral. Lineage: Eukaryota; Metazoa; Mollusca; Gastropoda; Stylommatophora; Dyakiidae.